UGCCAGCAGCCGCGGUAAUACGUAGGUGGCGAGCGUUGUCCGGAAUUACUGGGCGUAAAGGAUGAGUAGGCGGUCUGCUAAGUCAGGUGUGAAAUUCCAGGGCUCAACUCUGGACUUGCACUUGAUACUGGCGGACUUGAGGGCAGGAGAGGAAAGCGGAAUUCCCGGUGUAGCGGUAAAAUGCGUAGAUAUCGGGAGGAACACCAGUGGCGAAGGCGGCUUUCUGGACUGUACCUGACGCUGAGUCAUGAAAGCUAGGGGAGCGAACGGGAUUAGAUACCCCGGUAGUCCUAGCCGUAAACUAUGGGUACUAGGUGUGGAAGGUAUCGACCCCUUCCGUGCCGCAGCUAACGCAAUAAGUACCCCGCCUGGGGAGUACGGCCGCAAGGUUAAAACUCAAAGGAAUUGACGGGGGCCCGCACAAGC
Molecule: ribosomal RNA, 426 nt
Filed under: uncultured bacterium
Lineage: Bacteria
Description: bacterial SSU rRNA
Rfam family: Bacterial small subunit ribosomal RNA
Source: RNAcentral